Molecule: long non-coding RNA, 674 nt
Organism: Gorilla gorilla gorilla (western lowland gorilla)
Lineage: Eukaryota; Metazoa; Chordata; Mammalia; Primates; Hominidae
Exons: 3
Source: RefSeq, a predicted model, not a curated record
GAGAUAAGGCCUCACUAGCUUGCUCAGGCUGGUCCUUAGCUGACCUCAGGUGAUCCUCCCGCCUCAGCCUCCCAAAACACUGGGAUUACCACUGCUGCCAACCAAGCUGGAGUGCGAUGGCGUGAUCUCGGCUCACUGCAACCUCUGCCUCCCGGGUUCAAGUCAUUCUCCUGCCUCAGCAUCCCAGGAUGUGCCGACCACAACCUGGAGAAAUGGCAUGAAGACAGAGGCUACAUGAUCAAGAUGGAGCAGCAGUCCAGGGUGGAGGACCUACUGCAGAAUGUGUGAGCUCCACAGCCCAGGGACUCUCCAGAAAGCUAGAAAAUAGGCCAGGCGCGGUGCUCACGCCUGAAAUCCCAGCACUUUGGGAGGCCGAGGCGGGCAGAUCACCUGAGGUUAGGAGUUCGAGACCAGCCUGGCCAACAUGGUGAAACCCUGACUCUCCUAAAAAUAUAAAAAUUAGCCGGGCAUGGUGGUACGCGCCUGUAAUCCCAGCUACUCGGGAGGCCGAGGCAGAAGAAUCACUUGAACCAGGCAGGUAGAGUUUGCAGUGAGCCAAGAUCGCACCAUUGCACUUCAGCCUGGGCAACAGAGCGAGACUCCAUCUCAAAAACAAAACAAAACAAAACAAAAAAGCUAGAAAAUAAAUGGAUUUCACAGAAUCCCACACCAUG